UACGGAGGGUGCAAGCGUUAUCCGGAUUCACUGGGUUUAAAGGGCGCGUAGGCGGGUAAGUAAGUCCGUGGUGAAAUCUCUGAGCUUAACUCAGAAACUGCCGUGGAUACUAUUUGCCUUGAAUAUUGUGGAGGUGAGCGGAAUAUGUCAUGUAGCGGUGAAAUGCUUAGAUAUGACAUAGAACACCAAUUGCGAAGGCAGCUCACUACACAAUCAUUGACGCUGAGGCACGAAAGCGUGGGGAUCAAACAGG
Molecule: ribosomal RNA, 253 nt
Filed under: uncultured bacterium
Lineage: Bacteria
Description: partial 16S ribosomal RNA
Rfam family: Bacterial small subunit ribosomal RNA
Source: RNAcentral